This 303-nucleotide ribosomal RNA is filed under the name uncultured bacterium. RNAcentral's name for it is "partial 16S ribosomal RNA". It matches the Rfam family "Bacterial small subunit ribosomal RNA", at positions 507 to 808 of the family's 1533-position model. The record is from RNAcentral.
AGCAGUCGCCACGGUAAUACGUAGGUCCCGAGCGUUGUCCGGAUUUAUUGGGCGUAAAGCGAGCGCAGGCGGUUUGAUAAGUCUGAAGUAAAAGGCUGUGGCUUAACCAUAGUAUGCUUUGGAAACUGUCAAACUUGAGUGCAGAAGGGGAGAGUGGAAUUCCAUGUGUAGCGGUGAAAUGCGUAGAUAUAUGGAGGAACACCGGUGGCGAAAGCGGCUCUCUGGUCUGUAACUGACGCUGAGGCUCGAAAGCGUGGGGAGCAAACAGGAUUAGAUACCCCUGUAGUCCCUGUCUCUUAUACA